Molecule: ribosomal RNA, 546 nt
Filed under: uncultured eukaryote
Lineage: Eukaryota
Description: SSU rRNA
Rfam family: Eukaryotic small subunit ribosomal RNA
Source: RNAcentral
CGAUUGUAGUCAUAUGCUUGUCUCAAAGAUUAAGCCAUGCACGUCUAAGUAUAAGCAAUUAUACAGCGAAACUGCGAAUGGCUCAUUAUAUAAGUUAUCGUUUAUUUGAUAGUACCUUACUACUUGGAUAACCGUGGUAAUUCUAGAGCUAAUACAUGCUAAAAAUCCCGACUUCGGAAGGGAUGUAUUUAUUAGAUUAAAAACCAAUGCCCUCCGGGGCUCACUGGUGAUUCAUGAUAACUCCUCGAAUCGCAUGGCCUUGCGCCGGCGAUGGUUCAUUCAAAUUUCUUCCCUAUCAACUUUCGAUGUUUGGGUAUUGGCCAAACAUGGUUGCAACGGGUAACGGAGGGUUAGGGCUCGACCCCGGAGAAGGAGCCUGAGAAACGGCUACCACAUCCAAGGAAGGCAGCAGGCGCGCAAAUUACCCAAUCCCGACACGGGGAGGUAGUGACAAUAAAUAACAAUAUAGGGCCCUUUGGGUCUUAUAAUUGGAAUGAGUACAAUUUGAAUCCCUUAACGAGGAACAAUUGGAGGGCAAGUCUGGUA